RNAcentral lists this ribosomal RNA (461 nucleotides) under uncultured bacterium. RNAcentral describes it as "partial 16S ribosomal RNA". It matches the Rfam family "Bacterial small subunit ribosomal RNA", at positions 338 to 795 of the family's 1533-position model. The record is from RNAcentral.
CCUACGGGUGGCAGCAGUGAGGAAUAUUGGUCAAUGGGCUUACGCCUGAACCAGCCAAGUCGCGUGAGGGAAGACUGCCCUAUGGGUUGUAAACCUCUUUUGUCAGGGAGCAAUUGGCGCUACGUGUAGCGUUAUCGAGAGUACCUGAAGAAAAAGCAUCGGCUAACUACGUGCCAGCAGCCGCGGUAAUACGUAGGGGGCAAGCGUUAUCCGGAUUUACUGGGUGUAAAGGGAGCGUAGACGGCAGUGCAAGUCCGGAGUGAAAGCCCGGGGCCCAACCCCGGGACUGCUCUUGAAACUGCAUGGCUGGAGUACAGGAGGGGCAGGCGGAAUUCCUAGUGUAGCGGUGAAAUGCGUAGAUAUUAGGAGGAACACCGGUGGCGAAGGCGGCCUGCUGGACUGUGACUGACGUUGAGGCCCGAAGGCGUGGGGAGCAAACAGGAUUAGAUACCCCGGUAGUC